GCAUGCAGGUGGUUCAUUAAGUCAGAUGUGAAAGCCCGGGGCACUGCUCGGAACUGCAUUUGAAACUGGUGAACUAGAGUACUGUAGAGGGGGGUAGAAUUUCAGGUGUAGCGGUGAAAUGCGUAGAGAUCUGAAGGAAUACCAGUGGCGAAGGCGGCCCCCUGGACAGAUACUGACACUCAGAUGCGAAAGCGUGGGGAGCAAACAGGAUUAGAUACCCUGGUAGUCCACGCCGUAAACGAUGUCUACUUGGAGGUUGUGGCCUUGAGCCGUGGCUUUCGGAGCUAACGCGUUAAGUAGACCGCCUGGGGAGUACGGUCGCAAGAUUAAAACUCAAAUGAAUUGACGGGGGCCCGCACAAGCGGUGGAGCAUGUGGUUUAAUUCGAUGCAACGCGAAGAACCUUACCUACUCUUGACAUCCAGAGAAGCCAGCGGAGACGCAGGUGUGCCUUCGGGAGCUCUGAGACAGGUGCUGCAUGGCUGUCGUCAGCUCGUGUUGUGAAAUGUUGGGUUAAGUCCCGCAACGAGCGCAACCCUUAUCCUUGUUUG
Molecule: ribosomal RNA, 550 nt
Filed under: uncultured bacterium
Lineage: Bacteria
Description: bacterial SSU rRNA
Rfam family: Bacterial small subunit ribosomal RNA
Source: RNAcentral